AUUACACAUGUAUAUAGUGUUUAUUCUAUAAUAUUAUUAAGUAUCAACUCAUAAAGUUAUUAGGUAAAAAAAUAGCUUUAUCAAUUAAUAAAGUGUUAUUGUGUGACUCUGUCAUACCAUAAUUUGACCACUACUUGGAUCUCAAGAUACAAAUUGUGAUAUAAAAAAGUCAUGCAACAACACUAACAGCAAACCAAUACAAAUCUAC
Molecule: unclassified non-coding RNA, 208 nt
Filed under: uncultured Rickettsia sp.
Lineage: Bacteria; Pseudomonadati; Pseudomonadota; Alphaproteobacteria; Rickettsiales; Rickettsiaceae
Description: sequence contains ITS2
Source: RNAcentral